GACGAACCGUGCGAACGUUGUUCGGAAUCACUGGGCUUAAAGGGCGCGUAGGCGGAUUGCCAAGUCAGGGGUGAAAUCUCUCAGCCCAACUGGGAAAUUGCUUUUGAUACUGGCAGUCUCGAGUGAGGUAGGGGCAUGUGGAACUCUCGGUGGAGCGGUGAAAUGUGUUGAUAUCGGGAGGAACUCCGGUGGCGAAAGCGACGUGCUGGACCUCAACUGACGCUGAGGCGCGAAAGCUAGGGGAGCAAACGGG
Molecule: ribosomal RNA, 253 nt
Filed under: uncultured bacterium
Lineage: Bacteria
Description: partial 16S ribosomal RNA
Rfam family: Bacterial small subunit ribosomal RNA
Source: RNAcentral